GUGCCUUAUACAUGCAAGUCGAGCGAACGGAUAAGGAGCUUGCUCCUUUGAAGUUAGCGGCGGACGGGUGAGUAACACGUGGGUAACCUACCUAUAAGACUGGAAUAACUUCGGGAAACCGGAGCUAAUGCCGGAUAACAUAUAGAACCGCAUGGUUCUAUAGUGAAAGAUGGUUUUGCUAUCACUUAUAGAUGGACCCGCGCCGUAUUAGCUAGUUGGUAAGGUAAUGGCUUACCAAGGCGACGAUACGUAGCCGACCUGAGAGGGUGAUCGGCCACACUGGAACUGAGACACGGUCCAGACUCCUACGGGAGGCAGCAGUAGGGAAUCUUCCGCAAUGGGCGAAAGCCUGACGGAGCAACGCCGCGUGAGUGAUGAAGGUUUUCGGAUCGUAAAACUCUGUUAUUAGGGAAGAACAAAUGCGUAAGUAACUGUGCGCAUCUUGACGGUACCUAAUCAGAAAGCCACGGCUAACUACGUGCCAGCAGCCGCGGUAAUACGUAGGUGGCAAGCGUUAUCCGGAAUUAUUGGGCGUAAAGCGCGCGUAGGCGGUUUCUUAAGUCUGAUGUGAAAGCCCACGGCUCAACCGUGGAGGGUCAUUGGAAACUGGGAAACUUGAGUGCAGAAGAGGAAAGUGGAAUUCCAUGUGUAGCGGUGAAAUGCGCAGAGAUAUGGAGGAACACCAGUGGCGAAGGCGACUUUCUGGUCUGUAACUGACGCUGAUGUGCGAAAGCGUGGGGAUCAAACAGGAUUAGAUACCCUGGUAGUCCACGCCGUAAACGAUGAGUGCUAAGUGUUAG
This 800-nucleotide ribosomal RNA is filed under the name Staphylococcus succinus. RNAcentral describes it as "bacterial SSU rRNA". It matches the Rfam family "Bacterial small subunit ribosomal RNA", at positions 44 to 826 of the family's 1533-position model. Lineage: Bacteria; Bacillati; Bacillota; Bacilli; Caryophanales; Staphylococcaceae. The record is from RNAcentral.